This 397-nucleotide ribosomal RNA is filed under the name uncultured bacterium. RNAcentral describes it as "partial 16S ribosomal RNA". It matches the Rfam family "Bacterial small subunit ribosomal RNA", at positions 523 to 918 of the family's 1533-position model. The record is from RNAcentral.
AUACGUAGGGAGCGAGCGUUGUCCGGAAUUACUGGGUGUAAAGGGCGCGUAGGCGGCGCGGUAAGUCUGGAGUGAAAGUCCUGCUUUCAAGGUGGGAAUUGCUUUGGAAACUGCAGGACUUGAGUGCUGGAGGGGAUAGCGGAAUUCCUAGUGGAGCGGUAAAAUGCGUAGAGAUUGGGAGGAACACCAGUGGCGAAGGCGACUUACUGGGCCGUAACUGACGCUGAGGCGCGAAAGCGUGGGGAGCGAACAGGAUUAGAUACCCUGGUAGUCCACGCUGUAAACGAUGAAUGCUAGGUGUAGGGGGUAUCGACCCCUCCUGUGCCGGAGUAAACGCAAUAAGCAUUCCGCCUGGGGAGUACGGCCGCAAGGUUGAAACUCAAAGGAAUUGACGGGG